This 740-nucleotide ribosomal RNA is filed under the name uncultured bacterium. Its description in RNAcentral is "bacterial SSU rRNA". It matches the Rfam family "Bacterial small subunit ribosomal RNA", at positions 49 to 757 of the family's 1533-position model. The record is from RNAcentral.
CUAUACAUGCAGUCGAGCGAGCCGAACUAAUUGAUUACCUUCGGGUAUGAAGUUAGGGAAGCAAGUGGCGGAUGGGUGAGUAACACGUGGGUAACCUACCCUAUAGUCUGGGAUACCACUUGGAAACAGGUGCUAAUACCGGAUAAAAGGAGAGAUCACAUGAUUUCUUUUUGAAAGGCGGCGUAAGCUGUCGCUAAAGGAUGGACCCGCGGUGCAUUAGCUAGUUGGUAAGGUAACGGCUUACCAAGGCAACGAUGCAUAGCCGAGUUGAGAGACUGAUCGGCCACAUUGGGACUGAGACACGGCCCAAACUCCUACGGGAGGCAGCAGUAGGGAAUCUUCCACAAUGGACGCAAGUCUGAUGGAGCAACGCCGCGUGAGUGAAGAAGGUUUUCGGAUCGUAAAGCUCUGUUGUUGGUGAAGAAAGAUAGUGAGAGUAACUGCUCAUUAUUUGCCGGUAAUCAACCAGAAAGUCACGGCUAACUACGUGCCAGCAGCCGCGGUAAUACGUAGGUGGCAAGCGUUGUCCGGAUUUAUUGGGCGUAAAGCGAGCGCAGGCGGAAAGAUAAGUCAGAUGUGAAAGCCCUCGGCUUAACCGAGGAAUAGCAUCGGAAACUGUCUUUCUUGAGUGCAGAAGAGGAGAGUGGAACUCCAUGUGUAGCGGUGGAAUGCGUAGAUAUAUGGAAGAACACCAGUGGCGAAGGCGGCUCUCUGGUCUGUAACUGACGCUGAGGCUCGAA